AACGCGAAGAACCUUACCUGGGCUCGAAGCGCAGUGGACCGGGGUAGAAAUAUCCCUUCCUCGCAAGAGGCUGCUGCGGAGGUGCUGCAUGGCUGUCGUCAGCUCGUGUCGUGAGAUGUUGGGUUAAGUCCCGCAACGAGCGCAACCCUUAUCCCUAGUUGCCAUCGGGUCAAGCCGGGCACUCUAGUGAAACCGCCCAGGAUAACUGGGAGGAAGGUGGGGAUGACGUCAAGUCCUCAUGGCCUUUAUGUCCAGGGCUACACACGUGCUACAAUGGUCGGUACAAACCGUCGCAAACCCGCGAGGGGGAGCUAAUCGGAAAAAGCCGGCCUCAGUUCGGAUUGGAGUCUGCAACCCGACUCCAUGAAGCUGGAAUCGCUAGUAAUCGCGGAUCAGAACGCCGCGGUGAAUACGUUCCCGGGCCUUGUACACACCGGAGUA
This 441-nucleotide ribosomal RNA is filed under the name uncultured bacterium. RNAcentral describes it as "bacterial SSU rRNA". It matches the Rfam family "Bacterial small subunit ribosomal RNA", at positions 958 to 1398 of the family's 1533-position model. The record is from RNAcentral.